Molossus molossus (Pallas's mastiff bat) is the source of this 159-nucleotide small nuclear RNA. RefSeq annotates it as U1 spliceosomal RNA. The record is from RefSeq and is a predicted model, not a curated record. The transcript has a single exon. Lineage: Eukaryota; Metazoa; Chordata; Mammalia; Chiroptera; Molossidae.
AUGCUUACCUGGCAGGAGAGAUACUGUGACACAAAGAUGAUUUUCCAGGGCGAGGCUCAUCCAUUGCCCUCCAGGUGGGCUGACCCUGCGGGUUCUCCAAAGGUGGGAGCUCAACUGUACAACUGGUGGGGGUGGCGGACUACGUUGUGCUCUCCCCUA